This 424-nucleotide ribosomal RNA is filed under the name uncultured bacterium. Its description in RNAcentral is "partial 16S ribosomal RNA". It matches the Rfam family "Bacterial small subunit ribosomal RNA", at positions 360 to 776 of the family's 1533-position model. The record is from RNAcentral.
AAUUUUGGACAAUGGGGGAAACCCUGAUCCAGCCAUCCCGCGUGUAUGAUGAAGGCCUUCGGGUUGUAAAGUACUUUUGGCAGAGAAGAAAAUGCAUCGCCUAAUCCGGGAUUCCGCUGACGGUAUCUGCAGAAUAAGUACCGGCUAACUACUUUCCAGCAGCCGCGGUAAUGCGUAGGGUGCAAGCGUUAAUCGGAAUUACUGGGCGUAAAGCGUGUGUAGGCGGUUCGGAAAGAAAGAUGUGCAAUCCCAGGGCUCAACCUUGGAACUGCAUUUUUAACUGCCGAGCUAGAGUAUGUCAGAGGGAGGAAGAAUUCCACGUGUAGCAGUGAAAUGCGUAGAUAUGUGGAGGAAUACCGAUGGCGAAGGCAGCCCCCUGGGAUAAUACUGACGCUCAGACACGAAAGCGUGGGGAGCAAACAGG